This 495-nucleotide ribosomal RNA is filed under the name uncultured bacterium. Its description in RNAcentral is "bacterial SSU rRNA". It matches the Rfam family "Bacterial small subunit ribosomal RNA", at positions 29 to 523 of the family's 1533-position model. The record is from RNAcentral.
AUUGAACGCUGGCGGCAUGCCUUACACAUGCAAGUCGAACGGUAACAGGUUAAGCUGACGAGUGGCGAACGGGUGAGUAAUGUAUCGGAACGUGCCCAGUCGUGGGGGAUAACUGCUCGAAAGAGCAGCUAAUACCGCAUACGACCUGAGGGUGAAAGCGGGGGAUCGCAAGACCUCGCGCGAUUGGAGCGGCCGAUAUCAGAUUAGGUAGUUGGUGGGGUAAAAGCCUACCAAGCCAACGAUCUGUAGCUGGUCUGAGAGGACGACCAGCCACACUGGGACUGAGACACGGCCCAGACUCCUACGGGAGGCAGCAGUGGGGAAUUUUGGACAAUGGGCGCAAGCCUGAUCCAGCCAUGCCGCGUGCGGGAAGAAGGGCCCUUCGGGUUGGUAAACCGCUUUGUCAGGAGAAAGGUACUGGAGUAAUACCUGGGACGUCAUGACGGUACCUGAAGAAUAAGACACCGGCUAACUACGUGCCAGCAGCCGCGGUAA